Non-coding RNA from Cinara cedri, 1070 nucleotides. The record is from the annotation of a GenBank genome assembly. Lineage: Eukaryota; Metazoa; Arthropoda; Insecta; Hemiptera; Aphididae.
AAAUAAAAAAAAUCGAAAACGAAAACAUAAUUCAAACCGCCGCACACGUCACGUCAUUUCAUUGCGGUCUCGCGAAUAAUCCGCGACAGUGGGUCAAUAACUUAUCGUCGUGUCCAGCGCCCACAGCGGUAUAUUAUCGUAUAGGUAUGAUAAUAUAUCGUGGAUAUUUAAUCGCUAAAACGCGCGCACGUCCUUGAGGAGAUCGGAUUUAUUUUUUUUAAUUAUUCUGGAGAAGAGACGGGGUCGUAUUAUUAUUAUUAAUAUACUAGAGUCGAUAAGUCGAUCGUCGUCGUCGUCGUGGCUCGGGGGGGCAAUCGCCUAUACGUAUACAUAUUAUUAUUAAAAAACGACGGUGGCGCGCCUCUAUGUGUACGUAAAAAAUAUAUACGCGCCGUGGAACUAUGGCCGCUACUUGCUAUGUCGAAUUAUUAUUAUUAUACCUAUCGGCGGAAUGUGCAGAGUACCGCCGAGCAUACACAGCCAUAAUAAAAUAUCUCAUCGCGUAUCUAUAUCGUGUGUAUAUCUAUACCUAUACUAUAUAUAUAUAUUGCCUCGGCAGCCGUACUGAUGCUGCGUAGGCGUCCGUAAUGAACGAAAGAGAGUAUGGUAUUCAAUUAUUAUAAUAUUUGACGACCCGUGCGUCCCGAUAAGCCGCAGCGGGUGCCGUAUUUACAGACCCUAUACGAGUUCAAAACGCGACAGAAUUGGCCCCAGGAGUUUACAGAACAUACUAGCCGAUAAUACUUGUCGGUUCAAACGUUUUGUAAUCGAUACCGCUCCGAGGAUUUCUGCAGUGUCCCGGGUGUAAAUAUAAAACAGCCAUAGUGUACCGCCUAUAGUUGAAAAGCUCGCGCGGAUUUAUAGAUGUAUAGCGGAUCGGGAAAAUAAAAAACUCAUCUAUACAUCCAGCGGUAAAGACUGUUUUUUUUUUAAGACCGACGCCACACCUCGACCGAAAUCGGUGGGUUGGUUAUAUGUGGUCGGAGACGUAAGACUUUACAGAACAAUGGAACAUGUUUGAAGCGAUAACCGUAUAAUAAUUAUUUAGUCUCGAUUUGUUCGUAAGAGGG